AGAGUUUGAUCCUGGCUCAGAUUGAACGCUGGCGGCGUGCCUAACACAUGCAAGUCGAGCGGUAACAGGUGUAGCAAUACAUGCUGACGAGCGGCGAACGGGUGAGUAAUGCUUCGGAAUCUACCCUCUAGUGGGGAAUAACCAGCCGAAAGGUUGGCUAAUACCGCAUACGUCCUACGGGAGAAAGCAGGGGAUCGUAAGACCUUGCGCUGAUGGAUGAGCCGAAGUCGGAUUAGCUAGUUGGUGGGGUAACGGCUCACCAAGGCGACGAUCCGUAGCUGGUCUGAGAGGACGACCAGCCACACUGGAACUGAGACACGGUCCAGACUCCUACGGGAGGCAGCAGUGGGGAAUAUUGGACAAUGGGGGCAACCCUGAUCCAGCGACGCCGCGUGUGUGAAGAAGGCCUGCGGGUUGUAAAGCACUUUUAGUGGGGAUGAAAUGUGCAGGGUUAAUACCUCUGCAUUUUGACCUAACCCACAGAAAAAGCACCGGCUAACUCUGUGCCAGCAGCCGCGGUAAU
This 523-nucleotide ribosomal RNA is filed under the name uncultured soil bacterium. Its description in RNAcentral is "bacterial SSU rRNA". It matches the Rfam family "Bacterial small subunit ribosomal RNA", at positions 8 to 524 of the family's 1533-position model. The record is from RNAcentral.